AUAUUGCUUGUUUGUAGCAAAAAAAAAAAAAAAAAAAAAGACUUUAGACCAGAUACGGGACAAAGCAAACAAGAUCAAAAACAAUUCAAGGUUCAGCAAAGUAAGAAAACAGAUUAAUUUUACCAGGAGUCCAAAAAAUUAUCGCAAUCAUUGUAGAGAUGGAGGAACUAUCUGGUCAAGAUUUUUAUCAAAAGAGGCCAAGGUCAGUUGCGGUAAGAGUAACAGACAGAGUCUGGAGUCA
Carassius carassius (crucian carp) is the source of this 241-nucleotide long non-coding RNA. RefSeq lists it as uncharacterized. NCBI's taxonomy places the organism in Eukaryota, Metazoa, Chordata, Actinopteri, Cypriniformes, Cyprinidae. The transcript is spliced from 3 exons. The record is from RefSeq and is a predicted model, not a curated record.